Hypanus sabinus (Atlantic stingray) is the source of this 2905-nucleotide long non-coding RNA. RefSeq lists it as uncharacterized. The record is from RefSeq and is a predicted model, not a curated record. Lineage: Eukaryota; Metazoa; Chordata; Chondrichthyes; Myliobatiformes; Dasyatidae. The transcript has 3 exons.
UUUUUAGGGGAUGCAAAUGAAUGUGGCAUUUUCUCUGCUCCCCCCCGCCAGCUCUCGGUGGGAAGGGAGCGAUGGUGCGAAGCGCCGGGGCCAGGGCGCAGGCUGAAGGAUUUUUAACUGUGGCCGAAGGAUUUGUUUGAAUAAUGUUCCGGAGCAGAAUUGUGUGUUGGAUUCAAGCAGACAGUGUGGUUGCUUUUAGGAUCCUGACGUUCGGUUACAACAAAAGUCGUGGAUUCAGCCCAGUUCAUCAUGGGUAAAUCCCUCCCCACCAUUGAGCACAUCUACAUUGAGCAGGAAAGCAGCGUCCAUCAUCAAGGACCCCCACCAGCCAGGCCACGCUCUCUUCUUGCUGCUGCCAUCAGGUAGAAGGUACAGGAGCCUCAGGGCUCACACCACCAGGUUCAGGAACAGUUACUACCCCUCAAACAUCAGACUCUUGAACCAGAGGGAUAACUUCACUGAGCCCAACACAAAACUGAUCCCACAACCUAUGGAGUCACUUUCAAGGAUUCUUCAUCUCAUGUUCUUGAUAUUUAUUGACUAUUUAUCAUUAUUUUUCUUGUUUUUUUUGCUGUUUCUUUGUAUUUACUGUGAAUACCUCCAAGAAAAUGACUCUCAGGGUUGUAUAUGGUGACAAACGUACUUUGAUAAUAAAGUUACUGAACAGAGCGAGGGUUGGCUUCUCUUCCUCUGUACUGUUCAGUUGCCCAUCGGAGUCACUGACGCUGUGCUUCUGCCUGAGUGAUACCGCAUUGAUUCCCCACCCUGUCACGACUGCCAGCAGAGUUCUGUUGGUAGUGCGGAGCAGUGGAGCCUCCUUCCCUCACCACAGUUCAUUACCUGUGGCAUUUGUGGGGUUGGAUUAGACCAUAAAACAUGGGAAUAUAAUUAGGCCAUUCAGCCCAAAGAGUCUGCCUUGCCUUUCCAUAAUGGCUAAUUUACCUCUGAAUCCCAUUCUGCCUGUAACCUUUGUCAUUCUUACUAAUCAAGAACCUUUCAACUACCACUUCAAAUAUACCCGAUGACUUGGCUUCGAUGGCAACAAAUUCCACAGAUUUACCACCCAUUACCUAAAGAAAUUCCUCUUCAUGACUAUUCUAAAUGGAUGUCCCUCUAUUCUGAGGCUGUGCCCUCUGGUCCUAGACUCCCCCACUAAAGGAAACAUCCUCUCCACAUCCACUAUAUCUGUGUCCUCUGGUCCUAGACUCCCCCACUAUAGGAAACAUCCUGUCCACAUCCAAUCUAUCUGUGCCCUCUGGUCCUAGACUCCCCCACUAAAGGAAACAUCCUCUCCACAUCCACUAUAUCUGUGUCCUCUGGUCCUAGACUCCCCCACUAAAGGAAACAUCUUCUCCACAUCCACUCUGUCCAGGCCUUUGAAUAUUCUAUAGGUUUUGAUGAGAUCCCCUGAUUCUUCCAAACUCAAGAACCUAUCAACCACCACAUGACUACAGGCCCAGUCGUUCCUCAUACAUCAAUCCUUUCAUACCCGGAUCAUUUUAACGAGCUUUCUGUAGACCCUCUCCAAUGCCAGCACAUCUUUUCUCCGAUAAAGGACCAAAGCCUACUCACAGUACUCCAAAUGUGGUCUGACCAAAGCCUUGUAUUUGGUGAGAGCAGACCUCCCUUAAGGAUCUCUGCUACCUGGGAGUUGCUACCAUCAGAGAGGAGGCACAGGAGCCUACAACCACAUGUCCAAUGUUUUAGAGAUAGCUUCUUCCCCUCUGCCAUCAGAUUUCUGAAUAGUCCUUGAAAGAUAGCCUUUAUUUCUUCCACCAAUCACCUCCCAGAUUCUUACCCUAUCCCCCGUUCCCCACCUACCUUCCUCCACACCUGGUCUCACCUAUCACCUGCCAGCCUGUACUCCUUCCCCUCCCCCACCUUCUUCCUUUACAGUCCUGAUGAAGGGUCUCAGCCCAGUCUGUUGACCGUUUAUUCCUCUCCAUAGACGCCGCCUCACCUGCUGAGUUCCUCCAGCAUUUUGAGUGUUGUUCUAGAUUUCCAAUGUCUGUAGACUCUCUUCUGUCCUUAAAGAUGUCCUCAUUGGCAGGGAGGCUUCAUCUGUGAUGAAGCUGGUUGAGUGUGCAGCCCCUUUAUAGCCUCUUACAAUCUCUGAAACUGCUCGUGGUUUCAGGCCUGACUGAUUCACCUCUUUGCAGGGAGGUGACUUAAUACCCGAUUUAACUCGCCCUCUCAACAUAAAUGUAUAAACUGGAAGAUGGGGUGUGUGCAUCCUGUUGAGAAUAUUUUUUAUCCAUAGUUAGAUUUCAGAGUCAGAAUCAGGCUCACUAUCACUGUCAGAGUGAAAUUUGAUGUUUUGCUGCAGCAGUACACUGGAAUACAUAGUAAUAAAGAUCUGUACAUUACAAUAAGAAUAUAUAUUCCAUGAAAUGAGUAGUGCAAGAAGAGAGGGAAAAGUAAUGAGAUGGUGUAGAUUACUGAUGGUGGAGGGAAGAAACUGUUCCUGAAGCGUUGAGAGAGGCUUUUCAGGCCCCUGUGCUUCCCUGGUGAUAGCGGUGAGAGGAUUGCUGCCAGGUCCUGGGUGAUUUAAGCUGAUUCUGUUUUUAAUCGUAAACGACAACACGCGUGAGCCUGUUUGUUUAGUUGAGUCUGCUGCCACGAAUAACGGAGCAGUGUGUGACUGUGACUGCACACUGUCCGGGUACUGCUGACUGUCUCCAAACCUCUGCCCACGCCGGCACUGCCAGCGUCUGCCUCCCAGUCAUCGCCGAGCCGCAGCCGAGGAGGCGGCAAGAAUUCAAAUGAGACCCGCAGUUCCCAUCCCUUCCCCAACCCCCACCUCUCCCCCUCCCUCGCCUUUAACACUGCAGUAACUCCCAAUGUUGCUCUCGGCUGCAAAAUAAUAGUUUCACUGCAAUGCGAGACCCGCUAGUUAUCGCGCUGG